UCCAUAACAAGGGCGUCGACAAACCCGGAAGUAACCGAGACUGGAACAUUCAGUACAGUCAAAACAACACAUACUUCUCUCUUUAGAUUUAUUCAUUUUCUUUCCGUUUAAAGAAAGAGCGACCCGUGGGCCUCCAUAAUGGUAUGACUUCUGAUAAAAGCUGGUGUCUACGUGGCACGGAAGAUCUCCUCCGCUGUCCGAGGAGAUGAGCAAAAAGACCAGCCUGUCCUCACGCCAUGUAGCCUAACCCAAGCUAAUAAGCGUCAGAGUCAGAAGCGGUUAACAGCGGAGAAGAUGUCAUCUCCAGACCUGGAUGAUGGCGCAGUGUGUGUGCCUCCAGCAGACACUGCAGUGCAGAAAUAUAGUUCCUGAGGUUAAAGGUCACGCCGGUGCAUUACUGGGUGUUAGACAGUAAAGCUACAUCCCCCUGAUUAACAAAACAGCUUUAUCCUUAACUAUCAAAUUUUAAGGCAGAUAUAUACUGUAUUCUACAAGUGCCUAAUCAGAAUGAUCAAGAUCUGGGAAUUUCCCAGUUAUAUCUAGAUUGUUUCCAAUAAACUAUAAACAAAUAAACAUUUGACAUUUCACUUAUUAAUUAUUCAUUAAUAAACUAAAAAGAAAUGAAGCCAAACCUUUUAAUAUAGGGUACUCAAAAACAUUUAACCGGGAUUAUGCUGAUACUGAUAUUAUAUUAAAUUAGAACACAUUCAUGGGGAAAAAUUACUUAAUGACCUUUAUAAACCCAGUUUGCCCUGCGUGACUGAUGGAUACUAGUCAUUGCCUUUCUCUCUCUCUCUCUCUCUCUCUCUCUCAGCUGUAGAGUGUGAAGGUCUGUUCAUCAACCUCUGCUUCAGGGACUGUUCAGAUCUGAAAUUUUCCUACAGCUGUAAUAUUUAUAUUAACAAAUGUUGGCUAUUGUAUGUAGCAUUUUACAUUAAAGAAGAGUAGAUAACAUGCAUAUAACAUCACGUUUUCAUACGUGGGGUGAAAAAUAAAAUCGCUUUAAAUCGG
Long non-coding RNA from Ictalurus punctatus (channel catfish), 1011 nucleotides. RefSeq lists it as uncharacterized. The record is from RefSeq and is a predicted model, not a curated record. The transcript is spliced from 3 exons. NCBI's taxonomy places the organism in Eukaryota, Metazoa, Chordata, Actinopteri, Siluriformes, Ictaluridae.